UGGCCUGGUGGUCUAGGGGUAUGAUACGCGCUUCGGAUGUCAAAAUCCCCAUCUUCUACUAAAAAGGUGGCCCUCCUUAUGCGCGUGGUCCCGGGUUCAAAUCCCGGCCAGGCCCU
RNAcentral lists this transfer RNA (116 nucleotides) under Penicillium salamii. RNAcentral's name for it is "tRNA-Pro". It matches the Rfam family "tRNA". From Rfam's summary of the family: Transfer RNA (tRNA) molecules are approximately 80 nucleotides in length. Their secondary structure includes four short double-helical elements and three loops (D, anti-codon, and T loops). Lineage: Eukaryota; Fungi; Ascomycota; Eurotiomycetes; Eurotiales; Aspergillaceae. The record is from RNAcentral.